Molecule: non-coding RNA, 272 nt
Organism: Phascolarctos cinereus (koala)
Lineage: Eukaryota; Metazoa; Chordata; Mammalia; Diprotodontia; Phascolarctidae
Source: RefSeq, a predicted model, not a curated record
UCUGGAAACCACUACAGCUGCCCAUGAUUCAGUCCCCUGAGGCCUGCUCCCACAGUGAGAGGAAUGAGAUCAGUAGGGGCUUGAGACAACAGAAUUAGCAAAUUCAAUUCACAUUCAAGCCAAGAUAUAACCCAUAAUGUAAUUGGUCCUCUUCAAAAAGGAAGGACGAACACAACAAUAAUUCCUAGAUGCAAGCAAGCAAGGUACUGAAGAUACAGAAGCAAAAAUGAAACUCUCUUUGGACUCAAGAAGCUUAUACCCUAUUAGGAAAG